RNAcentral lists this ribosomal RNA (397 nucleotides) under uncultured bacterium. RNAcentral describes it as "partial 16S ribosomal RNA". It matches the Rfam family "Bacterial small subunit ribosomal RNA", at positions 523 to 918 of the family's 1533-position model. The record is from RNAcentral.
AUACGUAGGGGGCGAGCGUUGUCCGGAAUGAUUGGGCGUAAAGGGCGCGUAGGCGGCCCGGUAAGUCUGGAGUGAAAGUCCUGUUUUUAAGAUGGGAAUUGCUUUGGAUACUGUCGGGCUUGAGUGCAGGAGAGGUAAGUGGAAUUCCCAGUGUAGCGGUGAAAUGCGUAGAGAUUGGGAGGAACACCAGUGGCGAAGGCGACGUACUGGACUGUAACUGACGCUGAGGCGCGAAAGUGUGGGGAGCAAACAGGAUUAGAUACCCUGGUAGUCCACACUGUAAACGAUGAAUGCUAGGUGUAAGAGGUAUCGACCCCUUUUGUGCCGGAGUCAACACAAUAAGCAUUCCGCCUGGGGAGUACGGCCGCAAGGUUGAAACUCAAAUGAAUUGACGGGG